Molecule: long non-coding RNA, 5033 nt
Organism: Oncorhynchus tshawytscha (Chinook salmon)
Lineage: Eukaryota; Metazoa; Chordata; Actinopteri; Salmoniformes; Salmonidae
Source: Ensembl
AGAGAAAGGGGGAGGCAGGAAAGAAGGGGAAAGACGCUGAAGGGAGAGUCUUCCAGGAUGUGUUUGUUUAUGGGUAUCAGUUAACAGCAGCCAGAGGUUAGCCGAUCUGUAUAUUCAUGGACAUGCCGAUCUAAUCAAUGGUUUUGCUCUCAGGCAAAUCAGGUGAUACAGUGCCUAUACAGAGCCUUGCAAAAGUAUUCAUCCCCUUGAUCUUUUUCAUAUUUUGUUGCAUUACAACCUGUAAUUUAAAUGGAUUUUCAUUUGGAUUUCAUGUAAUGGACAUACACAAAAUAGUCCAAAUUGUUGAAGGGAAAAGAAAAAAAGGACCUGUUAAAAAAAAUAAAAGAACAAAUUUAACAGAAAAGUGGUGCGUGCAUAUGUAUUCACCCCCUUCGCUAUGAAGCCCCUCAAUAAGAUCUGGUGCAACCAAUUACCUUCAGAAGUCACAUAAUUAGUCAAAUAAAGUCCACCUGUGUGCAAUCUAAGUGACACAUGAUCUGUCACAUGAUCUCAGUAUAUAUUCACCUGUUCUGAAAGGCCCCAGAGUCUGCAACACCACUAAGCAAGCGGCACCAUGAAGACCAAGGAGCUCUCCAAACAGGUCAGGGACAAAGUUGUGGAGAAGUACAGAUCAGGGUUGGGUUAUAAAAAAUAUCAAAAACUUUGAGCAUCCCACGGAGCACCAUUAAAUCCAUUAUUAAAAAAUUGAAAGAAUAUGGCACAACAACAAACCUGCCAAGAGAGGGCCGCCCACCAAAACUCACAGACCAGGCAAGGAGGGCAUUAAUCAGAGACACAACAAAGAGACCAAAGAUAACCCUGAACGAGCUGCAAAACUCCACAGCGGAGAUUGGAGUAUCUGUCCAUAGGACCACUUUAAGCCGUUGUCGUGUCUUUGCCAUCAUUAAAAUGAGGACCGUUAUUUUAUCAAAUCAAUUCUCUGUGUAAUUAUUAUUAUGUGAUUAAACUAAUCAUGUAAAUGUAAUUAACUUGGAAGUCGGGGCACCAAGGAAAGUAUUCAGAUUCCAAAGUUAUCAUUUUCCUAAUUUAACUUUCAGAUAUUUUAAUAUCUGAUCAAUUAGUCUUCUAAUUAAUGAAUUAUUCUUUACCUCACGUUAGUCUCAUUCCAAACAUCGUAAAUUAUUGGUUAUCUGCAUGAACCCAGUCUUCACUACGAAUCAUCCAUACAUCAAUUGUCUCAAUCAUUUAUUUAUUAACUAACUAAAUAAUCACAGGAAUGCACACACAAACAAAGUAGAUAUGGUUACAAGGAAAUGAUAGGGGAUGUGCCCUAGUGGGCUAAACCGGCAUGGCGGCUUGAUAGACAAAAGGACUGAGAAGGGCGCGAAAGACAAAAGACACUACACAGUUGAUAAUUAUAACAAUUGAAAUGCUAAUCCUUUGCACAUGAGCGCUCACUCAUUCGGGAAUAACUGCAAUCAAUAUAUAUAUUUACGCUCAGUGUGUCGUCAUGAUCUAUGUUGGAAUCGUCCUUCUUUCUGUUGGAAGUUCAUCCGCCCAUCUCUCUGCGUCCCUGGAGUCUUUGGUUGGAAUGGUAACUUUAGAGUAACAUUCAGAAAUAUUCUAAUGAAUAGAUGUUUCGGUGGUUGUCAGUCCUCGCGUCUCAUUGGUACAUCAUUUCUAGCUGCAGACUAGUAAUUAGUAUUGAAGAUUUGCUCGUAUUCUGUCGGAAUCGAUAGUCUCAGAGAUACAACAACCAUUACAACCUUAGCUUAUACUCAGGUUUUCUGGUCUCAACUCAAACCUUAGCCCUCUCGGUAAUCAAGGUAAGCUUGGUGUGAAGGGAAAUUCCCAAUGUGGGGGUUAUAUCCAGAACAGUAAGAAAGGGCUGUCCCAUGACGCCGGAUCAAUGUCUGUGCUCAUGGGUCAGGCCUAUGACUUAGUUAAACUACAAAGGGAAUUGUAGUUUCCUUCAUUAAACAGUUUAAAAUCACAUUACAUAAUUUCACAAAUAGUUUCAUCUUUACUCAUUCAUUUUAUACAACAAUUAGAUGCAAACCCCACAACUGAGACUCUUGUAUAAACAGAGUUAUGGUAAUGUGGCUGUAUUGUCUCUCAUGAGUUUCACAAACAUUAAACAAAAUGGGCCGGUCGUAGCUGGAUUCUCCCCCGACCGUGUACACAUUCUCCAAAACAUGGACAUUGUUCAGUUCUCAGGUUCUAUGAUGGAGAAGAGGUUCCUUUGUUCUCCUGUGAAAUCUUCUCUCUAUACUGCCUGGCCAUGAGGAGAGAGACUCCUCUAGGAAUUUGUGACCUGUGAUAACAGAGCCUGGGUGUAGGGGGAAGAGAGAGGUGGUGAGAGAGAGGGGGGAUGGUUGCUCGCUAUACCCAAAGAGUGCCACGUCAUGACACCGUACACUCCACAGAGCUGGGCUUUAGGGAAGAGUAGCCGGGAAAAAAGCCAUUGCUUAAAGAAAAAAAGAAGCAAACACAAAAGGCAUGUGGGAGACUCCCCAAACAUAUGGAAGAAGGUGAUGAGACUAAAAUGUAGCUUUUUGGCCAUCAAGGAAAAUGCUAUGUCUGGUACAAACCCAACACCUCUCAUCACCCCGAGAACACCAUCGGCAGGGACUGGGAAACUGGUCAGAAUUGAAGGAAUGGUGGAUGGUGCUAAAUACAGGGAAAUUCUUGAAGGAAACCUGUUUCAGUCUUCCAGAGAUUUGAGACUGGGACGGAGGUUCACCUUCCAGCAGGACAAUGUAACUAAGCAUACUGUUAAAGCAACACUGAAGUGGUUUAAGGGGAACAUUUAAAUGUCUUGGAAUGGCCUAGUCAAAGCCCAGACCCCAAUCAAAUUGAGAAUCUGUGGUUUGACUUAAAGAUUGCUGUACACCAGCUGGAUCCCAUCCAACUUGAAGGAGCUGGAGCAGUUUUGCCUUGAAGAAUGGGCAAAAAUCCCAGUGGCUAUAUGUGCCAAGCUUAUAAAGACAUACCCCAAGAGACUUGCAGCUGUAAAAAAAUUGCUGCAAAAAAAGUGUCUCUACAAAGUUUUGACUUUGGGGAGGUGAAAAGUUAUGCACGCUCAAGUAUUUCUUGUUUGUUUCACAAUAAAACAUAUUUUUGCAUCUUCAAAGUGAUAGGCAUGUUGUGUAAAUCAAAUGAUACAAACCCACCAAAAAUCUAUUUUAAUUCCAGGUUGUAAGACAACAAAAAAGGAAAAAUGUCAUGGGGCUGAAUAGUUUCGCAAGCCACUGUAUAUGGUAACUGCCAAAAUAAUGGAAACACGUAAAUAAGGGAUACAAAGAAUAUAGGUGCUUCCACAGAGGUGUGGUUCUUAAGUUAUUGAGCAAUUAGCAUCCCAUCAUGCUUAGGGACAUGUAUAAAAAUGGCCAGUUGCCCAUUAUAUUGGGUACCAUGGCUAGAAGAAGAGAUCUCAGUGACUUCAAAAGAGGGGUCUCAAAGGAGUUUAGGGAGAUUAAAGUGUGUGUGUGUGUGUGUGUGUGUGUGUGUGUGUGUGUGUGUGUGUGUGUGUGUGUGUGUGUGUGUGUGUGUGUGUGUGUGUGUGUGUGUGUGUGUCAGUCACCAGAUCUCAACCCAAUCGACCACAGCAUUUUCAACCUCUGUCAACAAAACACCAAAAUUAAAGCGGUUCUGGUGGCUCGUAGUGGCUCAACACCUUAUUAAAAUCCAUUAUGUUGGUGUUGGUGUUUCCUUUAUUUUGACAGAUACCUGUAGAUCUCUGUGGAUUUGUGCACUGCCUGGCACUUAACUGGUGCCUUGGAACAUAGUGUAUGUGUCUGUGUGUGUGUCUUGGUUUUUCCGUGUGAAGUCAUUUGGAUAUUUCUGCUUUGAUGAACUGUAAGUCAAUGCUAUGCUCUAAUCAUUGUACUGAGAGCAUUCUACAGUAUAUAGCAUUCUAGAGCUCCUUUUUAUAUGUUUAUAGGUCUAUCUAUAGGUCUAUCUAUAGGUCUAUCUAUAGGUCUGGCUAUAGGUCUAUCUAUAGGUAUAUCUAUAGGUCUAUCUAUAGGUCUGGCUGUAGGUCUAUCUAUAGGUCUAUCUAUAGGUCUAUCUAUAGGUCUAUCUAUAGGUCUAUCUAUAGGUCUAUCUAUAGGUCUAUCUAUAGGUCUAUCUAUAGGUCUAUCUAUAGGUAUGGCAAUAGGUCUAUCUAUAGGUAUGGCUAUAGGUCUAUCUAUAGGUAUGGCUAUAGGUAUGGCAAUAGUUUCUAUCUAUAGGUAUAUCUAUAGGUAUAUAUAUAGGUCUGGCUAUAGUUUCUAUCUAUAGUUAUAUCUAUAGGUCUAUCUAUAGGUAUAUUUAGGUCUAUCUAUAGGUAUGGCUAUAGGUCUAUCUAUAGAUCUGGCUAUAGGUCUAUCUAUAGGUCUGGCUGUAGGUCUAUCUAUAGGUAUGACUAUGGGUAUAUCUAUAAAUCUGGCUAUAGGUCUAUAUAUAGGUAUAUCUAUAGGUAUGGCUAUAGGUCUAUCUAUAGGUGUGGCUAUAGGUCUAUAUAUAGGUCUAUAUAUAGGUAUAUCUAUAGGUCUGGCUAUAGGUCUAUAUAUAGGUAUGGCUAUAGGUAUGGCUAUAGAUCUAUCUAUAGGUCUGGCUAUAGGUCUAUCUAUAGGUCUGGCUAUAGGUCUAUAUAUAGGUAUAUCUAUAGGUCUGGCUAUAGGUCUAUAUAUAGGUAUAUCUAUAGGUCUAUAUAUAGGUAUAUCUAUAGGUCUGGCUAUAGGUCUAUCUAUAGGUAUAUCUAUAGGUCUGGCUAUAGGUCUAUCUAUAGGUUUAUAUAUAGGUGUGGCUAUAGGUCUAUCUAUAGGUAUAUCUAUAGGUAUAUCUAUAGGUCUGGCUAUAGGUCUGGCUAUAGGUCUAUCUAUAGGUUUAUAUAUAGGUAUAUCUAUAGGUAUAUCUAUAGGUGUGGAUAUAGGUCUAUCUAUAGGUAUGGCUGUAAGUCUAUCUAUAGGUAUAUCUAUAGGUGUUUUAGUGACUUUAACCUGAGUGGUCAGUAUCCUAGGCAACCAUGAAGUUUGUCCGGAUUGCCUUUAGAUACGGCUCUUUACGGCUCUGGUACAGCCUCCUAGGUC